UACGUAGGUGGCAAGCGUUGUCCGGAUUUACUGGGCGUAAAGAGCGCGCAGGCGGUCGUUCAAGUCGCGUGUGAAAGCCCCCGGCUCAACUGGGGAGGGUCACGCGAUACUGCUCGACUUGAAGGCAGGAGAGGGAAGCGGAAUUCCCGGUGUAGUGGUGAAAUGCGUAGAUAUCGGGAGGAACACCAGUGGCGAAGGCGACUUCCUGGCCUGUUCUUGACGCUGAGGCGCGAAAGCUAGGGGAGCAAACGGG
Molecule: ribosomal RNA, 253 nt
Filed under: uncultured bacterium
Lineage: Bacteria
Description: partial 16S ribosomal RNA
Rfam family: Bacterial small subunit ribosomal RNA
Source: RNAcentral